RNAcentral lists this long non-coding RNA (3949 nucleotides) under Homo sapiens (human). Its description in RNAcentral is "HSALNT0212732". The stretch from base 942 to 1138 matches the Rfam family "U2 spliceosomal RNA". The record is from RNAcentral. Lineage: Eukaryota; Metazoa; Chordata; Mammalia; Primates; Hominidae.
GCCACUCGAUAAAAUCAGCUAAGGAAAAAAGUAUUUUGAGGCCGGGCGCGGUGGCCUGGGUGGGUGGCCUGUAAUCCCAGCACUUUGGGAGGCCGAGGCCGGUAGAUCACCUGAGGUCAGGAGUUCUAGAUCAGCCUGGUCAACAUGGUAAAACCCCGUCUCUAUUAAAAAAAAAAAAUACAAAAAUUAGCCGGGCGUGGUGGCAGGCGCCUGUAAUCCCAGCUACUGGGGGGCCGAGGCAGGAGAAUCGCUUGAACCCGGGAGGCGGAGGUUGCAAUGAGCAGAGAUCGCGCCAUCGCACUCCAGCCUGGGGAACAAGAGCGAGACUUCGUCUCAAAAAGAAAAAAGAAAAAAAAGUAUUUUGAAGCUGGUACUCCAGUCUUUAUGGCUAUUUGUGGGAUGAGGAAUUUGCCAGUUUAAUGGAGACUUUUAAAAAUAAAUCGCUUUUGAAAGAUUAGGUUGAAAUGUAAUCAGUGUAGUGUCUCAUCAGUCAUUACUGAACUUUUAAUGCUAAUGAUUUUACUGUGAGAUAACCUGUAAUCUUUAGUCAUUUAUGAAUGUCUAUUUACCAAUGAUUCAGCAACCAUACAGGCCACCUUUCAGCGUGUCUUUGAAAGGGUUCUAGGAACACAGAUAAAAAUAUAUGAUCCUUACCUUAAAGACACUGGCGAUUUCAUGGGCACAGAAACAAACAUGUGUGAAGUACUGGGAUAGCUUAGGAAGCCGAUCCCCCACGUGUCCCAUUUACCAGAGUGAAUCAGAGUGCAGGUGAUGCGGAAUAUUAUCUUCCAUGCUAUUCCUGAAAUAUUUCCAUCUGUCCCUGCCUCUCUGUUACCACUGAAAUGUUCCUUUUUUUAAUUCCUUAUCAUCUUUUCACCUAUUAAAGUAGCCUCUUAAGUGGUCUCCAGAAGAGAAGCUCCAGAUCUACUGCAGGCUACUCCAGUGAAACUUAUCCUUUUGGCUAAGAUCAAGUGUAGUAUCUGUUCUUAACAGUUUAAUAUUUGACACAUUCUCUAUCCAAGGAAAAUAUGUUAAAUGGGUUUUUGAAGCAAGGAGAUGGAAUAGGAGUUUGCUCCACCACUCUACACAUCAACCUGUAUUUCAAUACCUCCAGAAACCCAGGAACGGUGCAUCUCUCCCAUCUUAUUUACUUCCUUUUGAUAUUUCAAAAUUCAUGCAGACCAGGCAUGGUGGCUCAUGCCUGUAAUACCUGCAGUUUGGGAGGCUGAGGCAGGAGGAUCAUUUGAGCCCAGGAGUUCGAGACCAGCCUGAGCAACAAAGCAAGACCCCAUCUUUACAAAUAAUAAUAAUAAUAAUAAAUUAGCCAGGCAUGGUGGGGUCUCAGCUACUUGGGAAGCUGAGGUGGGAAGAUCACUUGAGCCCAGGAGGUCCAGGCUACAGUGAGCCGUGAUCAUGCCACUGCACUGCAGCCUGGGUGACACAGCUAGACCCUGUUUCAAAAAUAAAUAAAUAAAUCUCACGUGGCAUCCAGGUUAGUUAAGCGUAUCACAUCUCCUACUUUCCCUAAGAUCCUAGAAGCCAAAGGCGCUGCUCUAAAACUCUAGCGUUUUCCUACAUCUUCACUACAUAAAACAUCAGCCUACUGGAUACUACUCCAUCAAAACCCGGCACCUAAGUAGUAGCUAAUAAUGGGUUAAAUCGUAUACAUAUAUUCAAAAUAAUGCUAGAGUCGAUAAUCUUACACUUUUCAGAUAAGGCAUCUAUCCAAUUUAAGGCACUCUAUGUCUUUAGUAUCUUGUUUGUUCAAUCACUCAAAUAAGCAUUUAUUGAGAACCUUGAAAUGGCCCUGAAGGAGUAACUGUGAACAGUAGGAAUUACAGGUAUGCCGGCAGAUUGUCAGGGGACAAAAUCUGUGACACUGAGGAAUGUAAGCACCUAUCAAAUCAUACUACAUAGGUGGUAAAUUUUACCAGCUAUGCAUAGCGCCCUUCUUAAGCAUCACUACUGUAUACUUCAGUUUUUCCAUCUGUUAAAUCGGAAUGAGUGAUAUUUGUCAUCAGUUUACGAUUCUCACAAAAAGGGAACACAAAAUUUCUUACCAGUAUGGAAUCUGUUGCCUUCCCAGAAAUAUGACUCAAAUUCCAUGUGUUUCCAUUGUUAAUAAACAGUUAAAAUGCUGACUCAGCUAUCUUAACUGUAAGAAGUUACAAAAAAUGUAUAUUCAGGAAAUGGGGCAUCUCCACCAUCUAUGCCAGUCCCUGAGGACUGGUAUGUACUUGAUAUCCAGGCAGGUUAUAUUAUCCUCUAGUAUCUGCUCUACCAGCAUUUAACUCAUGCAAGUACAUGGGAGCGUUGUUAUAAAACAAAAACAAAAACACCAGUCUUCUUGAGAGCUUUAGUCCUGAAGUUAGGUUUUAGAAUUAUGGCCAGAACUGGCCAGCCACAGUGGCUCAUACCUGUAAUCCCAGCACUUUGGGAGGCCGAGGCGGGCAGAUCACCUGAGGUCAGGAGUUUGAGACCAGCCUGGCCAACAUGGUGAAACCCUGUCUCUACUAAAACUACAAAAAUUAGCCGGGCAUGAAGGCGCAUGACUGUAAUCCCAGCUACUCGGGAGGCUGAGGCAGGAGAAUCACUUGAACUCGGGAGGUGGAGGCUGCAAUGAGCCGAGAUGGUGCCACUGCACUCCAGCCUGGGCAACAGAGCAGAAUUAUGGCCAGAAUUCAUGGCUAUGGUAAUCGAAAGAUUAGUUACUUCAUGAAUCUUUGUUUACUUUGAUAAUGCCAUUGAAUCUACUAAUUGUUUUUUUUUUUUGAGACAGGUUCUGCUAUAUUGUUCAGGCUGGUCUUGAACUCCUGGGCUCAAACAAUCCUCCUGCCUUGGCCUCCUAAGUAGCUGGGACUACAGGUGUGUGCUACCAUGCUUGGCUUACCAUCUAAUUUGAUUCACUCAAAAACCUUAUGAUAGGGGCAGAACAUGAUGCCAGACUCAUCUUAUAGGUUAACAGACUAAGGCUCAGAAAAGUUAAGAGGCAAACACAAGGUCUCACUUUGGAAGGGGUACAAAUAUCCCAAACAGAACUAAAUUUCCUGUAGAAUUGGACAAUACUGACUAUCUCCUUGAAAUUCUCUCCUCCUGUGGCUUUUAUGGAAGUUUCACUGCCAUGGCUCCUCUCCAAUGGUGAGACUUCUUUUUGUUGUCUUCAGACUUACAAACCUUAAACUGGAGUCCUUAGUCCCAUUUUUUCCCUCUGUCUCAGUUACUCUCAAACUUUAGUGUGCACCAGAAUCCCUGGGAGAGCAUUAAAACAGACUGCUGGGCCCCAUCACCAGAGUUUCAGAUUUAGUAGAUCAGGGAUGGGGCCUGAAAAUCUGCCCUUCUAACAAGCUUCUGGGUGAUGCUGCUGGUCUGAGGACCACACUCUGACAACCACUGCUCCAUCCUCUUUCCCUAGGUAAACUCCACUUUCACAUUGGCUUCAAAUUUUAUCACAGCAUGGAAGACUUCUGGUACACUUCCAGGAGCCUGAACGAUUUUCUAACACCUCAAGGUCAACAUGCCACCAAGGUUUAUUUUAAUCCUUUUCUCCAUUCAAUCUAAUUUCUAUGGCUAGAACUAGAGUAGCUAAGAGUUGGUCUAGUUCAGUCCAACUUGAAACCAGUUAAAAUUGUCCUUGAUAUUGUUCAGCCAGAAAAUCAACUGUUUCUUCUUUAAUGCACUUUCUCUUAUGAUAGUGAUCAUGAACAUUCCAAGUUUAGAAUUAUUGCUGUAUUUGCCUUAUUACUUUUUAUGGAGUAUAAGAUAUGGGGUAAACAGGACCAUGCCUAAUACAUUUCUGUUUUCCAUGACUUCCUUCAUAGUACAAAACCACAAUGCAUAAUUUUCUGGAAAAACAAAUGAAAUGACAGGAGCAGCCAGGAGUGGUAGCUCACAUCUGUAAUCCCAGAACUUUGAGAGGCCAAGGCGGGAGGAUCACUUGAACCCAGGAGUU